AGUGAACGCUGGCGGUAGGCCUAACACAUGCAAGUCGAACGGCAGCACAGUAAGAGCUUGCUCUUACGGGUGGCGAGUGGCGGACGGGUGAGGAAUACAUCGGAAUCUACUUUUUCGUGGGGGAUAACGUAGGGAAACUUACGCUAAUACCGCAUGCGACCUACGGGUGAAAGCAGGGGAUCUUCGGACCUUGCGCGAUUGAAUGAGCCGAUGUCGGAUUAGCUAGUUGGCGGGGUAAAGGCCCACCAAGGCGACGAUCCGUAGCUGGUCUGAGAGGAUGAUCAGCCACACUGGAACUGAGACACGGUCCAGACUCCUACGGGAGGCAGCAGUGGGGAAUAUUGGACAAUGGGCGCAAGCCUGAUCCAGCCAUACCGCGUGAGUGAAGAAGGCCUUCGGGUUGUAAAGCCCUUUUGUUGGGAAAGAAAAGCAGCAGGUUAAUACCCCGCUGUUCUGACGGUACCCAAAGAAUAAGCACCGGCUAACUUCGUG
RNAcentral lists this ribosomal RNA (492 nucleotides) under uncultured bacterium. RNAcentral describes it as "partial 16S ribosomal RNA". It matches the Rfam family "Bacterial small subunit ribosomal RNA", at positions 29 to 507 of the family's 1533-position model. The record is from RNAcentral.